GCAUGUGUGUCAGUUGUUAUGCACGAAGCAGUUUAAAGAUUUGUUGAUUUAUUGUUGCAUAAAAAACUAAAUAAUAAGAUUUACAAUAAUGAAUAAACUUCUGUCAAUAACAAAUUUAUCAUAUACAGCGAAACAAUUGUUAGUUUCCGAGGUAAAUAAUUCAAAAUGUAUUCUUGCAGCAAUCUUAAGAAAUCUUCACAUAACCUCUUUCAAUAAUAAAGAGAUAAGAGAUAAAAAUACAAAAGUUAGAGUUGUUUCAAAUAAACAUAAUAUAGCUGAAGGAGAAACAGAUGGAACAGUACAUAAUUUGAAUCAGACAGGACUCUUUCCAGAUGAAAACACACCUAAUUGGAUUUUUAAAGGUAUACCAUAUAAGGAAUUGCCAAUUGUUAAUAUAAAUGCAACUCCUAACAAUACUCAUUUGAAUUUGACGGAUCAUAAAGGGAAGAUGUUAGCACUUCAUACUGCGGGUAUAGAAGGUUUCAAAAAUACUAGAAAAGGUACCAAUGUUGCUGCACAACAAGCAGCUGUUACUUUCAGUGAGGCUAUUCGCAAUAGAUCUGUACCGAUAGUCAGAGUACGUAUUCAAGGAUUAGGUGCUGGUAGAAUGGCUGCUUUGAAAGGUCUUCAAAUAGGAGGAAUAGAAAUUGUAUCGAUUACAGAUAGUACUAGGGUUUCAUGGAAUCCACGAAGACCGAGAAAGCCAAGGAGAAUAUAAUUACAUUCUAUUGAUAGUAAUUGAAAUAUUAUAUAUUUAUAUAUGUGGAUUGAAAUUUCUAAAUGCAACAUGACUUUAAAGUUCGAUGUAAACGAAUUAAGUUUUUCAAAUAAGUUGAGAAAAUAAUGAAACAACACAUUUGCAUCAUGACUAGGAUUUUUGUUUAAACAUCUGCGACAUUCAACUGACGAUUGAUUCGUGUCACGUUCAAAUGUUUACAGAUAGAAAACCAAAUGAUUUUUAUGCAGAAUAUUUUACGCUCGGUGAUAGCAGAAAGUCUUUGCUCGCAGUCUCGGAUGCAAAUGGGUUAAUAAAUGUUUACACGUUUAGGAAAAGAAAACAAUGAAUUUUGAUUUGAUUUGAUUUUAAAAAUAAUUACCCAAAGAAACGGUCUAUUGAUUUAAUAUAAAGUAAUGUGAGAGAUGCUUAUUUUUCAUAAGAGUGUAACAAAAAAAAACAAAAAAAAAACAAAAAAAUUCUUUUUUAUUUGAUAUUUACGAAUAAUCAAUUAUUCGAAUCUCAAGAGAGUCCUACUAUAAACUAGAAACGCGUACAAUCCUGUGGGAAAGUUUGACCUAGAUAGCUUAAAGUGCCCUUGGGAUAUUGUGUACCCUGUAUUCUGCAAUUAAGCGUUCCUGUCCCUUAACUAUAAAGUUUCAACGAAAGUUAUACGCAGCAGUUAAUGUUCAUCUACUACACGCGUUUAUUACCCUGGUUUAUCGACGAUAUUGUCUACGUCCUAUCAACAGAAUUGGCAAGUAGGUAAACUUCAACGGGAUGGUAGUGAACUUUUCUUUUAUGGCUUAUUAACUCCUUUAUUAACGGUUUAUAAAUAUUUAUAUAUAUAUGUCAUUGUUUUAUAUUAUAUAAUGUAUAUUAUAUAUUAAUUUAUAUAUCUCUUUGUAUCUCUUAUCAAACUAUUGACUAGACACCUCCAUGAGGUACUCUAAUAUUCUAAACAUUUUUAACAUUAUAAUUAACGUUAGUUUUAUGACAUAUGAAAAUGCAUAAAUUUGAUAACUUAAACUAAUGACUUUUUGUUUAAUAAAUCGUAUGAAUCGCAAACGCAAAGCAGUAAA
Polistes dominula (European paper wasp) is the source of this 1797-nucleotide RNA transcript. It is a transcript of the gene named mitochondrial ribosomal protein S11, with no coding region annotated. The record is from RefSeq and is a predicted model, not a curated record. NCBI's taxonomy places the organism in Eukaryota, Metazoa, Arthropoda, Insecta, Hymenoptera, Vespidae.